UGACUGGGGGUUUCUAACGAGUUGAAAGGUGCCUGAGUUGAGGGCAGGCGGGCGGUCGCCUUGCACGGGGUGUCCCUGCUUGGACACAGAGGUGGCCCCCAGCUGGCACUGACCUCCAAACGACCCUCGCCUUUACAGGCUCCAACUGCAGGAGUUGUAGAGGAGCAGAAGUCUUUCUGGGCCGGCACUUAUUGCUGCUGCGCUGGUGAUAAAACUUCAGACAGCCUAAUUGAUGGCUUUGCUGACCUAACGAUACCUUGUGAAAGCACAGAGUGGCAAAGCCUGGUCCUCAUUUAUGGCCAGCUGCAAGGAGAGCUGGAUCCCUAAGAUGGAAAGGGGAAAAGAAAGUCUCCCAGCCUGUGAACUUUAACCAGGAUCUGAGCCACUUAGAAGAAGUUAAAGAAACAAUUGUCUUUUAACACAAGUUUUCGGUCGCAUUUACUUGUUCAAAGCCUUCUGGCAAAUCCAGCUUUAAGCUGGCUAGUAAGAUAAGCGUGUUACCAGUUACAAUUUCUGAGCACUUAGAGGAAAAUCCUUUAAAGUGAAAUUAUACUCUUUUAAAAAAGCAACGUGAAGCAAAACACAUUUCCACAGCACGCUAAAAUCCUGUCACUUUUAAAGCAGAGGUGUUCUCAAAACAGAGAAGCAAGCUGAUGAAAGGACUUCUAUUCUUUGUAUUCUGUUGCAGGUUUAUUAAUGCCAGAAGAAGAAUAGUACAGCCUAUGAUUGACCAGUCAAAUCGAGCAGGCAAGUUCCAAGUAGUAUCUGUAUUCAAGUCCCACAGGCGCAAAUCCUCAUCAAGUUAUUCUUCAGGAGUCCCAUCACCUGGUAAAUAAAUGCUUCAACCAGGCAUUCUGGGAGAUUAUUUUUUUUCUUAUGUCCCCAGAAUUCCGCUGUAGGAAGCAACUUCGCUAAUUGGUGCUAAUUGGAGAUUUCCCACCCUGACUCUACUGAAACUGCUUUUUAUUUUCUCUCUGAAUUGGUAAUUGGGUACAAGUAGUAGUGCCACAAGCAGUUUGUUUGACUGUGAGCUCUUGAAUUACUCAUUGCUUGUCUGCAUCCAAUCAGCAGGACAAUCUCAUUUUCUUGCUACCCACAACUCCUUGGUGUAUGCAUUGCUUUUACUUCUGGAAGGCGAGCUGUAAAACUCAUUGUAUCCAUUCAUUUGCUUUGACUAUUCACAAUAUGCUACUAAUGUGACAUGGUACCAUACUGCCAGAAAAUAUUAAAAGAUUAUUACUUUUGUUUAAGAAUGCACCAGAUAUGCUCCCAGUGAAACAUAUGAUUUUUAUAACAAUACCUUUUCUACAUUUCUAUUAAAGCAUUUAGAAUAUGCAGCACUUUACAACAACAACAACUGGUACCAUGUUAAUCAUUCCACUUUCUAAUAUGCAUUUCCUCAGCAUACUAGGGAGUUGUGGUUUCCUAACAUGAGGUUAUGGGAUAAAACUGUUCUCCAUGUGGUGAUGACUGUUGUCACUAACAAGGGCUUUAACUUGAUGGUGAUUUCGCCUGCUGCUUCACUUUAAAGGUUUUUAUAAAGGUCAUUAAACCUUUGGGAAACUCUUCCCAUGUAGCAUUAAAUUUCUUUUUCAUUAACAGGUAAAAAGGGGGAAAACACUAACUCAACUAACCAUGCAAAACAUUAAGCCAAAUACAGUGUGUACAUAAAUAGGAAAAGCCACCACCAGAAUUUCCCAACUCAUUCUAGAGUAGGUGAGAGUAGUUUUAUAAGUUUUAUUAAGUUUCAUCGUAAAUACCCUAUGUCGCAAAUGCCAGAUUCACAACUUUGUGUAAUUAGAGAGGAACAGAAUAGGUACUUACUUCGUUAAGAAAAAACACAUAGCACUUCAACGGGCUUCCACUGUUUUGCAUUAAAGGUAAGUAGAGAAACAGAUCCUAAGCAAGUGAACUGACUUGACAAACUUGUUUAUUGGGCCCCCUAUAGCAUUUUUAUUCUAUAGUCCUGGUAACAUAAUCAGCUCAUAAAAAGCACAACCUGAGUUUAAAGUGACAGCCAAGAUAUUGUAUAUAGCGUUUCAGUGCUGAAGCUGGAACAAUUGCUGAUUGUUUGGUAUGUCUUCUCUUCUUUCUCCUCUGUGUCCACGAUUGACUACAAUCAGGUUUUCUUCUUGAUCCUUCAGUGAGCCAAGGAGCAGCAUAUAGUCCAGAGGGUCAGCCGAUGGGAAGCUUUGUGUUGGAUGGUCAGCAGCACAUGGGAAUCCGGCCUGCAGGACCUAUGAGUGGAAUGGGCAUGAAUAUGGGCAUGGAUGGGCAAUGGCACUACAUGUAACCUUCAUCUUGUAAACCAGUCGCAAAGCAAGGGGGAAGUUUGCAAGGCAUGCCAGGGGACUACGUAUCUCAGGGUGGUCCUAUGGGUAUGAGUAUGGCACAGCCAAGUUACACUCCUCCCCAGAUGACCCCACACCCAACUCAGUUAAGACAUGGACCCCCAAUCCAUUCAUAUUUGCCAAGUCACCCCCACCACCCAGCCAUGAUGAUGCACGGAGGACCCCCUAUCCACCCUGGAAUGACCAUGUCAGCACAGAGCCCCACAGUAUUAAAUUCUGUAGACCCCAGUGUUGGUGGACAGGUUAUGGACAUUCAUGCCCAAUAGUAUAAGGGAACUCAAGGGAAAAACAAAACAAAAACAAACAGAAACUAUUUUAAGACUUUUGAACUUUGACCAGAUGUUGACACUUAAUACGAAAUUCCAGACAGCUGUGAUUAUUUUUUACUUUUUGUCAUUUUUCAUCAACAACAGAGGACCAAUGAAACAAGAACACAAAUGUGAAAUCAUGGGCUCACUGAAAUGAAUAUGUCCAUGUACAGAUCCUCUGGAAAAAAAAGACUCCAAGAGUUAUAACUACUGUAGUAUAAACAUAGGAACUAAGUUAACUUGUACAUUUCUGUUGAUCACUCCGUUACGUUGCCUCAAAUAGUUUUAGAAGAAAAAAAAAAAUCCUUGUUUUCCACACUAUGUGUGUUGUUCCCAAAAGAAUGACUGUUUUGGUUCAGCAGUGAAGUCACUAUCCAUGAAAGACCUGUUUUGGCCAGUGAGAAAAGAACUACCCUGGAGAUGAAGAUGAAAAGUCUUGCUGGGUCUCUCAUCACUCAGAAGACUGUUCCAAGAAGGCCUUGCCAUUCCCUCAUUUUGUUCCUUCAUAAAAUGUGUCCUUUAGUUUCAAACAGAUCUUUAUAGUUUGUGCUUCAUUAAGUCUCUCCCCAUUCCUCCCAAUCUUUUUUUUUUUUUUUUUGGACUCUUCUUCAAAGAGCUUGCAGGUGAAGAUUUAAAAGACAGAACAGACAGAGCAGAAGCUUCUUCCAGUAGUUCUGAGCCUUGGCUUUGGACAAAACAAAACUAAAUGUUGGGCAGCUUUCCUCAAUGAAAGAAGUUACUAACGGUCUUUGCACCAAACCUAGGACUUUAUCAUGAACUCAAAGCUUGGGAAAAAAAAAAAAAGCAAGAGAAUACUGUAACAAACUUCGUACAGAGUUCGGUCUAUUAAUUGUUUCAUGUUAGAUAUUCUAUGUGUUUACCUCAAUUGAAAAAAAAAAGAAUGUUUUUGCUAGUAUCAGAUCUGCUGUGGAAUUGGUAUUGUAUGUCCAUGAAUUCUUCCUUUCUCAGCACGUGUUCCUCACUAGAAGAAAAUGCUGUUACCUUUAAGCUUUGUCAAAAUUUACAUUAAAAUACUUGUAUGAGGACUGUGACGUUAUGUUUUAAAAAGAAAAAAAAGGUGUUAAGUCACAAAAUGCGGUAAUAAAUAUUUCAUUUUUGA
This is a non-coding RNA of Sturnus vulgaris (Common starling), 3779 nucleotides long. NCBI's taxonomy places the organism in Eukaryota, Metazoa, Chordata, Aves, Passeriformes, Sturnidae. The record is from RefSeq and is a predicted model, not a curated record.